Molecule: transfer RNA, 64 nt
Filed under: Coccidula rufa
Lineage: Eukaryota; Metazoa; Arthropoda; Insecta; Coleoptera; Coccinellidae
Description: tRNA-Pro
Rfam family: tRNA
About the family: Transfer RNA (tRNA) molecules are approximately 80 nucleotides in length. Their secondary structure includes four short double-helical elements and three loops (D, anti-codon, and T loops).
Source: RNAcentral
CAGAGGAUAGUUUAAUUUAAAAUAUUAAUUUUGGAGAUUAAAGAUAAGGUUUCUUUUCCUCUGA